GACGAACGCUGGCGGCGUGCUUAACACAUGCAAGUCGAGCGGUAAGGCCCUUUCGGGGGUACACGAGCGGCGAACGGGUGAGUAACACGUGGGUGACCUGCCCUCAGCUCUGGGAUAAGCCUGGGAAACUGGGUCUAAUACUGGAUAUGACUCCACGGUGCAUGUCGUGGGGUGGAAAGCCUUGUGCGGCUGAGGAUGGGCCCGCGGCCUAUCAGCUUGUUGGUGGGGNGAUGGCCUACCAAGGCGACGACGGGUAGCCGGCCUGAGAGGGCGACCGGCCACACUGGGACUGAGACACGGCCCAGACUCCUACGGGAGGCAGCAGUGGGGAAUCUUGCGCAAUGGGCGAAAGCCUGACGCAGCGACGCCGCGUGAGGGAUGACGGCCUGGUGUAACUCUU
RNAcentral lists this ribosomal RNA (400 nucleotides) under uncultured bacterium. Its description in RNAcentral is "bacterial SSU rRNA". It matches the Rfam family "Bacterial small subunit ribosomal RNA", at positions 28 to 433 of the family's 1533-position model. The record is from RNAcentral.